CUCAGGACGAACGCUGGCGGCGUGCCUAAUACAUGCAAGUCGAACGCUUCUUUUUCCACCGGAGCUUGCUCCACCGGAAAAAGAGGAGUGGCGAACGGGUGAGUAACACGUGGGUAACCUGCCCAUCAGAAGGGGAUAACACUUGGAAACAGGUGCUAAUACCGUAUAACAAUCAAAACCGCAUGGUUUUGAUUUGAAAGGCGCUUUCGGGUGUCGCUGAUGGAUGGACCCGCGGUGCAUUAGCUAGUUGGUGAGGUAACGGCUCACCAAGGCCACGAUGCAUAGCCGACCUGAGAGGGUGAUCGGCCACAUUGGGACUGAGACACGGCCCAAACUCCUACGGGAGGCAGCAGUAGGGAAUCUUCGGCAAUGGACGAAAGUCUGACCGAGCAACGCCGCGUGAGUGAAGAAGGUUUUCGGAUCGUAAAACUCUGUUGUUAGAGAAGAACAAGGAUGAGAGUAACUGUUCAUCCCUUGACGGUAUCUAACCAGAAAGCCACGGCUAACUACGUGCCAGCAGCCGCGGUAAUACGUAGGUGGCAAGCGUUGUCCGGAUUUAUUGGGCGUAAAGCGAGCGCAGGCGGUUUCUUAAGUCUGAUGUGAAAGCCCCCGGCUCAACCGGGGAGGGUCAUUGGAAACUGGGAGACU
This 648-nucleotide ribosomal RNA is filed under the name Enterococcus faecium. Its description in RNAcentral is "bacterial SSU rRNA". It matches the Rfam family "Bacterial small subunit ribosomal RNA", at positions 23 to 642 of the family's 1533-position model. The record is from RNAcentral. Lineage: Bacteria; Bacillati; Bacillota; Bacilli; Lactobacillales; Enterococcaceae.